RNAcentral lists this non-coding RNA (254 nucleotides) under bacterium. RNAcentral's name for it is "partial 16S ribosomal RNA". It matches the Rfam family "Bacterial small subunit ribosomal RNA", at positions 524 to 776 of the family's 1533-position model. The record is from RNAcentral. RNAcentral also lists the same sequence under 3 other names.
CACGUAGGCUCCAAGCGUUGUCCGGAUUUAUUGGGCGUAAAGAGCUCGUAGGCGGUUGAGUAAGUCGGGUGUGAAAACUCUGGGCUUAACCCGGAGACGCCAUCCGAUACUGCUCUGACUAGAGUUCAGGAGGGGAGUGGGGAAUUCCUAGUGUAGCGGUGAAAUGCGCAGAUAUUAGGAGGAACACCGGUGGCGAAGGCGCCACUCUGGACUGAAACUGACGCUGAGGAGCGAAAGCAUGGGUAGCAAACAGG